CUGAGAUCUGGAAAGUCUUUCUUGUUACUGGAGCCUGAGAGGUGGUUCUCCCUUAUUUUCUGCUGCUCAGGGAAGACACCAUGACAUUACCCACUCGCAGACUUCCUGUCUUGAGUGGCACAGUACCUUCACCACAGGCAGCAUGAUCAGACUGCAAAUCCUUUGCGUUUGAGUCAGCUAAAGAAGAGACAGCGUAAGUCAGCAUGGUGGACAAUUUCCUUGCCUCCUGUUCCAUGUUUGCCCACUUCUGCCUUCAACCUGCGUUAACUGCACCUCGUUCUCAGCCAAACUAUAUAAUUAAUUGAGAGCGGGCCUGGCUCUCCCAGAAGCCGGAUGUCUUAGUCACUGUUCUAUUGCUGUAAAGAGACACCACCACCAAGGCAAUUUGUACAAGAAAGCAUCUAAUUGGAAGACUUGGUUACAGCUUUACAGGGUUUGUCUAUUAUCAUCAUGGCAGGGAACGAGACCCAGAGCACAAAGUCAGCCCUGGAAAGAAGAGGAGCCAGUGUCAACCAGCUGGAUGGUGAGAGGAAAACGUGGAGGUUGGCAGAAGGACAAAGGAAAGGCGGCUACCUCGUCCUGAGGGAACGAAAGAGCAAGUGGCCAUUUCCGGAGAGCUGCACUGCUCCCUGCAAGGCUGUGAACCAAUGGUGGUUUGCCUUCAGAGCUUAAGACCGAGGGGAGAGGGAAGGAAAGGAGAGCCGGGUGCGUCUUCGCUGCUAUGGAGUUGGAUGGCUUAUUUUGGAUGGCUUCCUAUCUAGACCCGGCAGGCCCGCCCCCUAAGCAAAGAGGCCUUGUUUAAUGCCAGCGUCACAUUUGAGGCAAGAAGAUGAAAGUUCAGAAAAAGUCCCCCUUUUUAGGAAUUUUUGCAGCACUUUUAUUUGCGUGACACAUAUUAAAAAAAAAAAAAAAAAGUCUGUUCGGCUACCCUCCUGCAUGCCCUCCCAUUAGCAUGGCCCCUUCAUAACUGCCUCCUCUGGGCCUUGGGACCUUGGCAAUCAGUCAGGGCAUUUAAGCUCUGGCAUUAGGCAGCAGGAUUUGGAAAAGCCAAGACCUUGGGAAAGAAAAUAAAAGUCUUAAGUGGUCAAAGCUGGGGUUACGUAAUCCUAUUUCUCUUGGGAUCCAGAUGGUAACGUUCUUCAGGGCAGCCAGUAGGGGGAGCUCAGGACGUUUAUCAGAACUCCAGCGAUCCGAUGGUCAGGAGCCAAGUCAAGGCACAAAUAAAACAAUGAACCUUUGUGGUUUCUCUUCAGCUCUUAAUCCCGAGAGGCUUCAACCCGGACAGCCUGAUUCCCACCCUGAAGGACCCAGCGACCUUCUCCCAGGACGCCUUAAUAGGUUUUCCGGAGUCUGUAGACUCAAAUCCCCCGCCCCCUCCUCCUAAGUCUCUCAUCGGUUUCCCAGGCUCUUGUGGGCUCCGUGCCUUUCUUUUGUCUUCCUGACUUUCUUGUGUCUAAGUUUCUUUCUUGUUUCUCUUCACUAUCCUCGAGUCACUAGUAAAACCUACGAAAAAUGCAAGGGGGUGAGCCCACCCCCAGACAAAUACAUCAAAGCCCCGCACUUUGAAUAAAAUCUAAAACA
This is a long non-coding RNA of Mus musculus (house mouse), 1581 nucleotides long. RefSeq annotates it as predicted gene, 35833. The record is from RefSeq and is a predicted model, not a curated record. NCBI's taxonomy places the organism in Eukaryota, Metazoa, Chordata, Mammalia, Rodentia, Muridae. The transcript has 3 exons.